Molecule: ribosomal RNA, 1201 nt
Filed under: metagenome
Description: bacterial SSU rRNA
Rfam family: Bacterial small subunit ribosomal RNA
Source: RNAcentral
GCGACGGUCGGUAGCCGACCUGAGAGGGUGAUCGGCCACAUUGGGACUGAGACACGGCCCAGACUCCUACGGGAGGCAGCAGUGGGGAAUAUUGCACAAUGGGGGAAACCCUGAUGCAGCGACGCCGCGUGGAGGAAGAAGGUCUUCGGAUUGUAAACUCCUGUUGUUGGGGAAGAUAAUGACGGUACCCAACAAGGAAGUGACGGCUAACUACGUGCCAGCAGCCGCGGUAAAACGUAGGUCACAAGCGUUGUCCGGAAUUACUGGGUAUAAAGGGAGCGCAGGCGGGAAGACAAGUUGGAAGUGAAAUCCAUGGGCUCAACCCAUGAACUGCUUUCAAAACUGUUUUUCUUGAGUAGUGCAGAGGUAGGCGGAAUUCCCGGUGUAGCGGUGGAAUGCGUAGAUAUCGGGAGGAACACCAGUGGCGAAGGCGGCCUACUGGGCACCAGCUGACGCUGAGGCUCGAAAGUGUGGGUAGCAAACAGGAUUAGAUACCCUGGUAGUCCACACCGUAAACGAUGAUUACUAGGUGUUGGAGGAUUGACCCCUUCAGUGCCGCAGUUAACACAAUAAGUAAUCCACCUGGGGAGUACGACCGCAAGGUUGAAACUCAAAGGAAUUGACGGGGGCCCGCACAAGCAGUGGAGUAUGUGGUUUAAUUCGACGCAACGCGAAGAACCUUACCAAGUCUUGACAUCCGUUGACCGCUGUAGAAAUACAGUUUUCCUUCGGGACAGCGAGACAGGUGGUGCAUGGUUGUCGUCAGCUCGUGUCGUGAGAUGUUGGGUUAAGUCCCGCAACGAGCGCAACCCUUAUGGUCAGUUACUACGCAAGAGGACUCUGGCCAGACUGCCGUUGACAAAACGGAGGAAGGUGGGGAUGACGUCAAAUCAUCAUGCCCUUUAUGACUUGGGCUACACACGUACUACAAUGGCGUUAAACAAAGAGAAGCAAGACCGCGAGGUGGAGCAAAACUCAGAAACAACGUCCCAGUUCGGACUGCAGGCUGCAACUCGCCUGCACGAAGUCGGAAUUGCUAGUAAUCGUGGAUCAGCAUGCCACGGUGAAUACGUUCCCGGGCCUUGUACACACCGCCCGUCACACCAUGAGAGCCGGGGGGACCCGAAGUCGGUAGUCUAACCGCAAGGAGGACGCCGCCGAAGGUAAAACUGGUGAUUGGGGUGAAGUCGUAACAAGGUAA